AUUGAACGCUGGCGGCAGGCCUAACACAUGCAAGUCGGACGGUAGCACAGAGGAGCUUGCUCCUCGGGUGACGAGUGGCGGACGGGUGAGUAAUGUCUGGGGAUCUGCCCGAUAGAGGGGGAUAACCACUGGAAACGGUGGCUAAUACCGCAUAACGUCGCAAGACCAAAGAGGGGGACCUUCGGGCCUCUCACUAUCGGACGAACCCAGAUGGGAUUAGCUAGUAGGCGGGGUAACGGCCCACCUAGGCGACGAUCCCUAGCUGGUCUGAGAGGAUGACCAGCCACACUGGAACUGAGACACGGUCCAGACUCCUACGGGAGGCAGCAGUGGGGAAUAUUGCACAAUGGGCGCAAGCCUGAUGCAGCCAUGCCGCGUGUAUGAAGAAGGCCUUCGGGUUGUAAAGUACUUUCAGCGGGGAGGAAGGCGAUGUGGUUAAUGACCGCAUUGAUUGACGUUACCCGCAGAAGAAGCACCGGCUAACUCCGUGCCAGCCGCCGCGGUAA
Molecule: ribosomal RNA, 506 nt
Filed under: uncultured bacterium
Lineage: Bacteria
Description: partial 16S ribosomal RNA
Rfam family: Bacterial small subunit ribosomal RNA
Source: RNAcentral